This 201-nucleotide long non-coding RNA is filed under the name Gossypium barbadense (sea-island cotton). RNAcentral's name for it is "long non-coding RNA (GBAR_LNC001669)". Lineage: Eukaryota; Viridiplantae; Streptophyta; Magnoliopsida; Malvales; Malvaceae. The record is from RNAcentral.
UUUGAUUAGAACUAAUAUAACAAGGUUAUAAAUAUUAGGUUUAUGGUCCCCAAAUUAUACAAAAUAUAUCUUUUCUAAUAUCCCAUCAUUAGGAAAGAGAGAGCAGAUAUUCUCUAAAUUUCUUGUGUCCUAAUUUGGAAGAUCAAAUCCCCAAGAUCUAGUAAAACUUCAAGAAAUUCAUGGAUUCAGGUAUGCUUCCGC